UACAGAGGUGGCAAGCGUUGUUCGGAAUUACUGGGCGUAAAGGGCGCGUAGGCGGCCCUCUUAGUCGGACGUGAAAUCCCCAGGCUUAACUUGGGAACUGCGUCCGAUACUGGAGGGCUUGAGUGCGGGAGAGGGAUGUGGAAUUCCAGGUGUAGCGGUGAAAUGCGUAGAUAUCCGGAGGAACACCGGUGGCGAAGGCGGCUUCCUGGACCGACACUGACGCUGAGGCGCGAAAGCUAGGGGAGCAAACGGG
This 253-nucleotide ribosomal RNA is filed under the name uncultured bacterium. Its description in RNAcentral is "partial 16S ribosomal RNA". It matches the Rfam family "Bacterial small subunit ribosomal RNA", at positions 524 to 776 of the family's 1533-position model. The record is from RNAcentral.